UGCUAUCAUUAUCUUCAAACGGUGUAAGUUUAAUGUAAAUCUGUGGACGUUGUGUUUUGUGUUACAAAAAGCACCCAAAUCAUUCAAAGGGGACACGAUGCCCUCGCAUUAUGCGUUUUUGGCUAUACAAACCAAUUGUCCUACCGGUUAAGAAAGUUGUUUUAAAAAGUAGCAUAUUGUUGAUCCACUUAAAAUGUUCCUUGAAAUUGCGUAGAUUUGGUUGUUUACUUCCGUUGAACUGACACAGGUCCGCCAUUUCAUGAUCAAGGCUCGAUUUAUCAAAGAGCUAAUCCCUCUUUAAUAUUGUAAUGUAAUUCCCCCCGGAAAUUGCGACUGUAAGAGCUUUAUAAAAACCGGGUUUAAAGAUGUUCGUAAUAAACUGAACAGGGCCAUUCUUCCUAUAGCAACCUGUUCGUGUCCAUCUGGAGACUGUGAGCAGUGAUUGCACGUGCUAACAUUUCUGUUACAGCUUUUCAAACCUUUGUGGAUGCUGUUUGUGAACCGUGUCUAUAUCAUCCAUUUAAUAUACAUCCACUAAGAACAAUGGCUCCCAAUGCGAAUGAAACGCCCAUCGAUGGUUCGUGUCCAGGGCAAGCCGUGUGCGUGUCCGACAAACCCACGGCAGCCCCGCAAAACCACCAGUGUGCUACCAAUGAUUCUACCGAGUACGACGACGACUACCAACCACUCUCAAGCAUCCCUUGCCCGAACUGCGGCGGGUCCGGGACGG
Long non-coding RNA from Asterias rubens (European starfish), 730 nucleotides. RefSeq lists it as uncharacterized. Lineage: Eukaryota; Metazoa; Echinodermata; Asteroidea; Forcipulatida; Asteriidae. The record is from RefSeq and is a predicted model, not a curated record. The transcript has 2 exons.